CCCCUCUAAGGAUCGCACCUGGAGAGUUUUCAGUACUCUACCAGUCUCGGCUACGGGAGGGAGAGUCAACCAGAGGUCUGUCCAUUCCUAGCUUGGACAGUGGCUAGCGAGUGGCAGGCAAUCUGCUACAAGU
Small nucleolar RNA from Tachyglossus aculeatus (Australian echidna), 133 nucleotides. The record is from RefSeq and is a predicted model, not a curated record. NCBI's taxonomy places the organism in Eukaryota, Metazoa, Chordata, Mammalia, Monotremata, Tachyglossidae.